RNAcentral lists this ribosomal RNA (253 nucleotides) under uncultured bacterium. RNAcentral's name for it is "partial 16S ribosomal RNA". It matches the Rfam family "Bacterial small subunit ribosomal RNA", at positions 524 to 776 of the family's 1533-position model. The record is from RNAcentral.
UACGUAGGGUCCGAGCGUUGUCCGGAAUUAUUGGGCGUAAAGAGCUCGUAGGCGGUUUGUUGCGUCUGCUGUGAAAUCCCGAGGCUCAACCUCGGGCCUGCAGUGGGUACGGGCAGACUGGAGUGCGGUAGGGGAGAAUGGAAUUCCCGGUGUAGCGGUGGAAUGCGCAGAUAUCAGGAGGAACACCGAUGGCGAAGGCAGUUCUCUGGGCCGUAACUGACGCUGAGGAGCGAAAGCGUGGGGAGCGAACAGG